Long non-coding RNA from Bubalus bubalis (water buffalo), 2339 nucleotides. RefSeq lists it as uncharacterized. The transcript has 3 exons. Lineage: Eukaryota; Metazoa; Chordata; Mammalia; Artiodactyla; Bovidae. The record is from RefSeq and is a predicted model, not a curated record.
UUCACUUUCACUGCCCAAGGGGAGAGGAAGCCUUUGUUAUGGUAAUGAACGGGGAGUCCUCUGCAGGAAUCCGAACUCCACCCGACGCUGGGCACCCCGGCCAUAGGAAAGGGCAGGGCGGGAGGCUGAGUUCCCUCCCUAGCUCUGUAGGUGGCAGUGCGCUUGCAUCCUUGAGGCGGGAUGCAGGCGUGGCCACCCUGGCGCCUUGCUCCAGCCGAGACCACAUCUACCCCCGUCCGCGCUCCAGGAGAAAACGGAUCUCUGCAACCAUCUCGUACGCUUUCCAGCCGCCCAUCCACCGGCCUCUCCUCCUUCAGUCAGCCUGCAAACCUAGAGGCCCGUUUGCAAAAAAAAAAAAAAAAAAAUACAGCGUGGAAAAGCCUCCACCGAGUUCGUACAAAGCCCUAGCUCUCUGAAUGGAUUCUUUGGUUUGUUUUUACUUUAACUGAUAUCAGCCUUUGGUCCUGCGCAAACCGCUCUGCUGCUGAGAGAUUUAAAGGAAAGGUUCUGCGCCUUUAAGAACUCAAUUCAGCUGCUCCACGGACUGCAGCACGCCAAGCCUCCCUGUCCUUCACCAUCUCCCGGAGCUUGCUCGGACUCCUGUCCAUUGAACCUUAAGGACUCCAGGUUUCCAUGGCCUAUAGCAGAAGACGUUAGGACAGAAUCCAAACCCUCAGUAACACGACAUGGAAAAUACAGAUUUGAGAAACAGAUGGUCUUACUUCCCAAUAAGGGGGAAAAAAAUGAUUUUACGCAGGUUGGAGUGGAACCAGCGAAGACUUGCCACUCAAUUCCAGCAGUAUGUGCCAGUCACAUACUUUACAGUGAAGCGCUUGAACCCUCCCUCCAACAACCCUACCAUGGAAUCUAUUAUUAACUGCACUUGAUAGAUUUGAAAACAGUCACGUGGGCUUUCUGGGGGCUCAGUGGUAAAGAAUCCACCUGCCAAUGCAGGAGACACGGGUUCAAUCCCUGGUCCAGGAAGAUCCCACAUGCCAUGGGACAGCUAAGCCAGUGUGCUACGGCUACUGAGCCUGAGCUCUGGAGCCAGCAAGCCACAGCUGCUGAGCCCGCAGGCCCUAGAGCCUGUGUGCCACGAGAAAAGCCACUGAGAUGAGAAGCCUGAGCACUGCAACUAUAGAGUAACCGCCCCGCUCGCUGCGACUAGAGAAAAGCCUGCUUGCAGCAACGAAGACCCAGCACAGCCAUAAACAAAUAAAUAAAAUUGUAUUUUUAAAAAAGAAAACCGAGUCAAGUAACUUUCCCAAGAUUGAGUCCCACUGUUUUGACUCCAGGGCCCACACUUCUAACCAUUAUUGUAGAUUAGAUUAUGAAACUUUUAUCUGUUGCUAUGAGGAUUCAACCAGAUGCUCUUUCCUCUAUUUAUUUAUUUUUUCCCUCUGUUUACAAUGCCCUCCAGCAACCCAGUGGUCUAACCAGCCCCUACUUACUCAGGGGCCCAGGGCUCAGGGUUAGUCUACUUUGGCUGCUGUAACAAAAUACCAUAGACUCAGUGGGCUGAACAGCAGAGAGCUAUGUUCUCACAGUUCUGGAGGCUGGAAGUUCAUGAUCAAGGUGCUGGCAGGGUUGGCUCUCCUUGGCUUCGGGAAAGCUGCCUUCCCACUAUGUCCUCACGUGGGCUUUCCUCUAUGUCCACAUUCCCCUGGAGCUUCACUGGUGUCUCAAACAGUAAAGAAUCUGCCUGCAAUGCAGGAAACUCAGGUUUGAUCCCUGGGUCAGGAAGAUCCCCUGGAGAAGGGAAUGGCAACCCACUCCAAUAUUCUUGCCUGGAAAAUCCCAUGGACAGAGGAGCCUGGCGGGCUACAGUCCAUGGGGUCACAAACAGCUGGACAGGACUGAGUGACUAUCACUUUCAUUUUCACUUUCUUAACAUCACCCUCAACUAAAAACACUUGCCUUCCCAAACUCCCUGGUGCCUGGGAGUUGGGUUCUCUGCUGCUUGCAGCCUAGAGGCAUUUCUAAGUGCUUUAUCUAAACAAUCACUACGGGAAACUGAAAGCCACUGCUUCUGGGGAUAGCAGAUAAGCACUAGGGAAGGAGAAAACAUUCACAAAGAAGUGAACCUGGAUGCCCACAAGUCAUCUUAACUGCGUGUUAAAAUCUCAGUUUUCAGGAAUCAGAAAAACUGUAAAAACCAGAAAUGUGGGACUUCCCUGGUGAUCCAUUGGUUAAGAUUUUGCCUUCCAGUGAAGGAUAUGUGGGUUCAACUCCUGGUUGAGAAGCUAAGAUCCAACAUUGCCUCAAGGCCAAAAAAACCAAAGCAUAAAACAAAAGCAAAGUUGUAACAAAUUCAAUAAAGACUUAAAAAAUGGCUGACU